UAGCAGGGGCCUCACCGGGAGGGAAGGUGCCGUCCCCUCCUGGCGACCAAGAUGUUUGUUUCUUUGGGUUCCUACCGACGAGUCACGGGCUGCUGAUUUUCUUGGCCAUGUCCAAGCCUGAGGAUGGUGCUGGGUAGCCUCAGGGACUAAGGAAGGCCAACGGAAUUGAGGUGCCAGGUGCCAGAAAUCCGACCCCACUGCCCGAAGCUGCUUACACCCACUCACCAUUGCUUACAGCCAAUGCCUCGCCCUGACACAAGCUCACAGCACGCCAGGCUCCAUGCCUAAAGUAGGAGGUCUGCUCGCAUCCCCACAGAGACCACUCAGCUGGUUGAAAAAGUGAGUUGAGACAACGGGAGGCAGGACACAAGAGGAAUCUGGUACAAGACAGUCCACGUGUACAUGAAAUCGGACUUUGGAAACACAGGGAUGGGUGUUCUCUGCACUUGUUUUCAUGUCCUCUCUAGUAAAUCUCCUCUCUCAGCAUUGAAGGGCCAGACUGAAACACAUCACUGCCCUGCCCUAACCUUCAAGAAUCUCCAGCGUCCACAGGACAAAAUCCAAGGGCCUCCCCUGGACAUGCAAAGCUUCCUGCAAAGGAGCCCCCCAGCCCCCUAGCCCACCCCCAUGUCAGCCCUACUUCAGGGUUCCUGGCCUUGGUUCACACCGUCCUCUCAACCCAAGUGUCUUCUUUCCGUCCGCCACGCGUCUGAGUCCUUCUUACAGAACGAAACGCAUCCAACACGAGUCACGCUUCCAGGAGUAGCUGAAGAUGGUGAGGCCACCGAACUCCUGCCAUUCCUACUACAACGAUAGGCACAUAGCGACCUGUCCAGGCACUUUGCUCGCAGGUUUCUGUUUCCCAACUAUAUACACGUGCAGAAGACAGGGAAAAAGAAAGGACCAAGUUACGAGUGGUUAUGAACCCUGAAGUCUGCCAGAAUGGCUUCAUCGACCCAUCCGUUCCUUCAUACCCAGGCAUUCAGUCAUUCAGAGAACUCUUACUGCUUCCUGGGCAAACAUGCUGGUAGCAGGAAAGUCCACGGGCUCCCACCCCAGCGGCCCCACGGGUACAAGCACCAUUUGGAGUCACAAAACCGACGAUGGGACUUUGGUUCUGGCUCCCUUCCAUCACGCCAGGGCCUGGGCAGGUCACCGGGGGCAGGGGCCACAAGCCGGAGAUAAGCCAGUGGUCAAGCUCUGUAGCCGUGAUUACGCACCCGCCGCUCUGAGCCUGUUUCCCACCGGUGAAGGGGUGACAGCAGCCCGUGUCUCCCAGCAGUGAUGGGAGGACAGACCUCCUCGGCUCAAAGAGGGAAACCUGCCAAUUGAAAACAGCCACCUGCUCCUUCAAAAAGGAUUCUUAGUCUCCUUGGCAUUGGGUGUUGUCUGCGCGUCCGGGGGCCACGACAACAAAGGGCCACAGACCUGCUGGCUUCAAACAAGAGAAAUCGAUUCUCUCACAGCUCUGGAGUCAAGGUGUUGGCAGGGCCUCGCUCCCUCCAAAGGCUCCAGGGGAGGGUCCUGCCUGCCUCUUUCAGCCUCUGGGGUCUCCAGGCGUCCCUGGCUGUGGCCGCAUCCCUCCAGUCUCUGUCUCCGUCGUCCCAUGGCCUCCUCUGUGUCAUCUUCGCUGCUUCUGUCCUUUAUAAGGACACUGAUUGGAUGUAGGACCCUUCCUCUUCCAGGAAGGUCACAUCCUGAGAUCCUUAUUUUAACUACGUCUACAAAGACCCUAUUUCCAAAUAAGCUCUCAUUCUGAGGGUCCAAGUAUAUAUGAACUGGGGGGGACACGAUUCCAUCCAGCACAGACACUCAGGCAGAGAUGGGCAAGUGGCCCCUCUGUGUGUCACGGAGCCAUCGAGGGACCCCCGCUCUUCCACUGGUGCUGAGGCCCCCUCCUGGCCCACCUAGACAGACGCCUCCAGCUUCACGGCUCCCCAAGGCCUGUGCAAUGCACAUGCACCAUGCCUGGCGCUGCCUUUUACCCUAGACGUUCCUCUAGGAACGGAGCCAGACAGACUCAGAGUGAGGAGACAGGUGAAAGAGCCAGGCAGCACCAGGUGGAAACCGCAGGAUGGGGCGAGCGCUGGCCACACGCCCACCACCGAGUGCCAAGGGGAGUGACGGCCGCUGCCAGGCGUGGGGGUGGGAAAUCAAGGCAGCAUCACAGCAUCGGGGAGCCUUGGGGGCAACCCUUAAGGAAGAGUGGGGUUCCUCCUGGUAGGCCUGGUGGGCGAGGGUCACCCCAGGCGCCAAGCCACCUGAGCCACAUGCUCAGGGCUGGGAUGGUGGACGCAGAGCACGUAGCAGGGAAAGGGCCGGAGAAGACAGGCUGCUGCGCAAAGGAUGUGGGCUUGAUCUUGGGAAGAGGCUCAGAGCCUCUCGCACCAUCCCUCGGCUGGCCACGAUCUGGGCAGGGGAUGGGGACAGCGCAGGGGGACUGUACCAGAGGCAGCGCGCAUGUGAGCCGGGCUGGUUGCCCCGUGCUCUCCAGUAUCCAGCGGGGAGGUGAGGAGGGAUAAUCCCCUCGGGGGGACCGGAGUUGCCUGCAGCCGGGAUGCGGGUCCUCGAGCGCUGGGCAGAAGGUCGCACACGCAUCAUCUCCUGGACACAGGCUCUGGCGCAGAGACACGGACCCCAGUCACACACGGAGCCCCGCCAUGACAAAUAUUUCACCAGGAGACUUCCUCUGGGAGGGGGAGAAAUACCCAAAGCACGCUUUGUCUUAAAACAUUAAUGUCCAAUUCUAAAUUGGGUCGGGGGACGGAGGAGGAGAAAGGAGGAAGGCAGGGGUGGGGAGCCAUCACUGGGCAUCAUUCAUAAGCCACACACUGGGCCCUUCAUCAGGCCCCAAACUCACCCUUGUGGCUACGCAAAGAUUUAUUGAAGCCCCAGCAUGGGCUCAUUUAUUUUCCUCCAAACCAAUUUGAAAAGACCGUUUGCAUCUGCCCUGGAGGAAAAAAAAAAAACCACACACACACACACACACACACAAAAUGUGCUUAUUUGGCAAACUUUGUUUGAAAAACCUGCUUGUCCCCAAAGAAGUAGCCGCAUGUUUGGCGAGGCCAGGGGCUGUGUCUGUGGGGAGGGGAUGGUGGUGGUUCGGUUCUUCCCCAUCAUCUGUUGGCCAGAGAAAGAGACAGAGAACUUGAACUCAGACACCAUUUCUUGCACCUGGGGACCCAGAAAGGCGGGGCCCUUUGCUCGGAGAUCAAGGUCCCGUUGUAGCUCUCUCUAGCCUUGCUUGUCAGGGACGUCUGUGCACAGACAGCUGCAAAACGCAAAGAAAAGUGUAAAGCCAAGCGGGGAAAAAUGGACAAUGAGAAUUUCAAACAUUAGCUAAUUUUGAGGGGUGGGGUGAAAGUUCUGUCUGUCCUCUCCAGAAAAAAGAGAUGUCACCCAUGAAGAAACAUUCACCUUUCUUCCUAUCUACAAUAU
Molecule: long non-coding RNA, 3441 nt
Organism: Aethalodelphis obliquidens (Pacific white-sided dolphin)
Lineage: Eukaryota; Metazoa; Chordata; Mammalia; Artiodactyla; Delphinidae
Exons: 3
Source: RefSeq, a predicted model, not a curated record